ACUCCUGCGGGAGGCAGCAGUGGGGAAUAUUGCACAAUGGGCGCAAGCCUGAUGCAGCCAUGCCGCGUGUAUGAAGAAGGCCUUCGGGUUGUAAAGUACUUUCAGCGGGGAGGAAGGCAAUACGGUUAAUAACCGUGUUGAUUGACGUUACCCGCAGAAGAAGCACCGGCUAACUCCGUACCAGCAGCCGCGGUAAUACGGAGGGUGCAAGCGUUAAUCGGAAUUACUGGGCGUAAAGCGCACGCAGGCGGUCUGUCAAGUCGGAUGUGAAAUCCCCGGGCUCAACCUGGGAACUGCAUUCGAAACUGGCAGGCUUGAGUCUUGUAGAGGGGGGUAGAAUUCCAGGUGUAGCGGUGAAAUGCGUAGAGAUCUGGAGGAAUACCGGUGGCGAAGGCGGCCCCCUGGACAAAGACUGACGCUCAGGUGCGAAAGCGUGGGGAGCAAACAGGAUUAGAAACCCGAGUAGUCCCAUGAU
RNAcentral lists this ribosomal RNA (475 nucleotides) under uncultured organism. RNAcentral's name for it is "partial 16S ribosomal RNA". It matches the Rfam family "Bacterial small subunit ribosomal RNA", at positions 335 to 801 of the family's 1533-position model. The record is from RNAcentral.